Molecule: long non-coding RNA, 677 nt
Organism: Helianthus annuus (common sunflower)
Lineage: Eukaryota; Viridiplantae; Streptophyta; Magnoliopsida; Asterales; Asteraceae
Exons: 2
Source: RefSeq, a predicted model, not a curated record
ACUACUAGAGUUAAAACCACGAGCGUUUAAAACCAUUUAAAUUACUUUAUAUCUCUUCAGAGUUCAAUCUCACAUAAAACACUUCACAGAUCACCCCUAUAAUCUUUACUUUUUGAUUUAUCAAAACAACUUUCAUUCAAACAAAGAUUAACGUUUUAAAAACCUCAUGACUGAACGGUGAGUUUCCGGCCAUCGGCGAUGGCAAAGGCUGGCCGACAAAGGCUAAAACUGCCGGAGAUUGGAGGGACCGCGUCGUCGCCGGAUUAUGUGUCAGACUGGUCACGGUUGACGGUUAAGGACAAUCGCAGGAAAAAAGUUUUCAGAAAAUGUUAAGAUGUGUACCCGGAUUAUGAGGAACGAAGAUGUUCGGAAUCUAAAGAUGUUGAUGAAUCCGUUGUGUGGUUGCAGGAUUGCUGGUUAAUCCCAGUGGAGAAUUCUCGUGCUGAUAACGUGAGAGAAAUAAUUGAAAAAUGAGAAGUGUGUACUCUUUCAUUUAUCAAUCACAUAUAUAUAUAUACAAUGAUGUAGUCAAAUGUAACUGAGAAUUUAUGUAGUCAAAUGUAACUGAAACAUUAUGUAGUCAAAUGUAACUGAAACCAUGAUAAUUUAGGAGGAGAAUUAGGAGGGAAUAUAUCUGUAUUUAUAACAAUUAUAAAGUUAUAAAGCACACUUAAUUA